This is a long non-coding RNA of Populus euphratica (Euphrates poplar), 554 nucleotides long. RefSeq lists it as uncharacterized. The transcript is spliced from 2 exons. NCBI's taxonomy places the organism in Eukaryota, Viridiplantae, Streptophyta, Magnoliopsida, Malpighiales, Salicaceae. The record is from RefSeq and is a predicted model, not a curated record.
GAAUUUAAGUGGUCAAAAUAGUCAACUAAAUCUUCUCUCGAGAAAGUUAUAGCCAAUGAGUGCACUUUAUUUUGUAUGAGGUUCCCUCUUCAUCUUUUAACCAUCUUUGCUUGUAGCUUUUGCUUUGGUCAUUAUUACAUGUUUCCAGAUGUCCACCACCACCAUGAGACCCCCGUACAAAAUAUAACAGAAUCCUUAGGACCAUUCUUUCUCACGACACAACUCAAGGAGAACAAACUCAGAAAAUCCAUGGAGAUCUGGAGGCUUUCUUUGAUGCUACAACAUCGACACGAGUUGCUUUUCCAUCCAAUGUGGGUAAGAACAUCUACAUUUCCUUUGCUUUUCUCCUCCUCCCCUGUUUCUAGCAUUUUGUCAGGAAAGAAGGGGAUCUCUGGUUCAUGACAGGAAUGGAGAGGGCAGAAGAAGCUGCAAUAAUGUGAGUCAUUUAGGUAUCCUGAUUCUCCUUUUAUCUAUGGUGGCCUUUUCUUUGCGUUUUUUUGUUGCCCAGAAGAACUAUGAAGGUCGAGAAAUACUGAAAUCUUCAUUUUAGAGCU